This is a non-coding RNA of Nothobranchius furzeri (turquoise killifish), 897 nucleotides long. The record is from RefSeq and is a predicted model, not a curated record. Lineage: Eukaryota; Metazoa; Chordata; Actinopteri; Cyprinodontiformes; Nothobranchiidae.
GAGGGGGGGGUACUGUCACGGUCCGUGGUGAGCCUCCUGCAUUUCACCUGUAUUUUCUGAGCAUUGUUUUCAGGUGAGCGUGUCUGAGAGUCUGAGAGUCUCCAGCUGCAGCCAAUCCAGUCAUUACGGCCCAGGGGAUUUAAGGAGCAGUGUGGCACUUCACUUCGCCGGAUGAUUACUCUAUCUUGGGUUUCUCUUUCACACUCCACCACCUCCAUAACCAGCUUGGACUCCUGCACACCAGAUCACGCCGUCUCCUCCCCUGGCCGCUCGCUCUCAGCCGCUCACCUGCCUCCACCAAACCGCUGCUCCUACCUACUCUCUGGACCAACAGUCCCAUCACCUUCUGGAGCUUUCCUGCUCACCCGGACCUGACCAGUCCCUCCGGAGGUUCUCACCACUACUGCAAUCAAGUUCCAUCCUGAAAUCUUGCUGCCAGCCUGCCCGCCGUCUGUUCCCCUCGUUGCCCUUCAGUACAUAAUAAAGUCGUUUUACUUACUUACCGGUUCCUGUGUGGUGAUUCUGCAUGUCGUGGGUCAAAAGAUUGCCGCCCGCCAUGACAGUCCUCAUGUUCCACUUAACUUUUUAAUUUCCCCAAGGGAGUUAUUCUCUCACCUGUGCAUGUUUUCAGUUUUACUGUAGUGCGUUUUAAUUUUGGGUUGGGACAUUUACCUCUGUAAUCUUCAUAUGAGAUCAGUGAGAGCACAGACCCAGUGUCCAGCUCCGUCCGUAACCCAACCCUUUCACCUUUGGUGUGAUCCACAUUGCAUCAUCAUUUUUCUUUUGCAGUGAGUACAACUCCAUGACUGUUAGAGAAGCAUUUCAGGUGACUGCCUCUUGAAGCUCAUCAAGAGAACGCCAAGAGUGUGCAAAGCAGUAGUCAGAGCAAAGGGUGGC